GGGUUGUGAGGUUAAGCGACUAAGCGUACACGGUGGAUGCCCUGGCAGUCAGAGGCGAUGAAGGACGUGCUAAUCUGCGAUAAGCGUCGGUAAGGUGAUAUGAACCGUUAUAACCGGCGAUUUCCGAAUGGGGAAACCCAGUGUGUUUCGACACACUAUCAUUAACUGAAUCCAUAGGUUAAUGAGGCGAACCGGGGGAACUGAAACAUCUAAGUACCCCGAGGAAAAGAAAUCAACCGAGAUUCCCCCAGUAGCGGCGAGCGAACGGGGAGCAGCCCAGAGCCUGAAUCAGUGUGUGUGUUAGUGGAAGCGUCUGGAAAGGCGCGCGAUACAGGGUGACAGCCCCGUACACAAAAAUGCACAUGCUGUGAGCUCGAUGAGUAGGGCGGGACACGUGGUAUCCUGUCUGAAUAUGGGGGGACCAUCCUCCAAGGCUAAAUACUCCUGACUGACCGAUAGUGAACCAGUACCGUGAGGGAAAGGCGAAAAGAACCCCGGCGAGGGGAGUGAAAAAGAACCUGAAACCGUGUACGUACAAGCAGUGGGAGCACGCUUAGGCGUGUGACUGCGUACCUUUUGUAUAAUGGGUCAGCGACUUAUAUUCUGUAGCAAGGUUAACCGAAUAGGGGAGCCGAAGGGAAACCGAGUCUUAACUGGGCGUUAAGUUGCAGGGUAUAGACCCGAAACCCGGUGAUCUAGCCAUGGGCAGGUUGAAGGUUGGGUAACACUAACUGGAGGACCGAACCGACUAAUGUUGAAAAAUUAGCGGAUGACUUGUGGCUGGGGGUGAAAGGCCAAUCAAACCGGGAGAUAGCUGGUUCUCCCCGAAAGCUAUUUAGGUAGCGCCUCGUGAAUUCAUCUCCGGGGGUAGAGCACUGUUUCGGCAAGGGGGUCAUCCCGACUUACCAACCCGAUGCAAACUGCGAAUACCGGAGAAUGUUAUCACGGGAGACACACGGCGGGUGCUAACGUCCGUCGUGAAGAGGGAAACAACCCAGACCGCCAGCUAAGGUCCCAAAGUCAUGGUUAAGUGGGAAACGAUGUGGGAAGGCCCAGACAGCCAGGAUGUUGGCUUAGAAGCAGCCAUCAUUUAAAGAAAGCGUAAUAGCUCACUGGUCGAGUCGGCCUGCGCGGAAGAUGUAACGGGGCUAAACCAUGCACCGAAGCUGCGGCAGCGACGCUUAUGCGUUGUUGGGUAGGGGAGCGUUCUGUAAGCCUGUGAAGGUGUGCUGUGAGGCAUGCUGGAGGUAUCAGAAGUGCGAAUGCUGACAUAAGUAACGAUAAAGCGGGUGAAAAGCCCGCUCGCCGGAAGACCAAGGGUUCCUGUCCAACGUUAAUCGGGGCAGGGUGAGUCGACCCCUAAGGCGAGGCCGAAAGGCGUAGUCGAUGGGAAACAGGUUAAUAUUCCUGUACUUGGUGUUACUGCGAAGGGGGGACGGAGAAGGCUAUGUUGGCCGGGCGACGGUUGUCCCGGUUUAAGCGUGUAGGCUGGUUUUCCAGGCAAAUCCGGAAAAUCAAGGCUGAGGCGUGAUGACGAGGCACUACGGUGCUGAAGCAACAAAUGCCCUGCUUCCAGGAAAAGCCUCUAAGCAUCAGGUAACAUCAAAUCGUACCCCAAACCGACACAGGUGGUCAGGUAGAGAAUACCAAGGCGCUUGAGAGAACUCGGGUGAAGGAACUAGGCAAAAUGGUGCCGUAACUUCGGGAGAAGGCACGCUGAUAUGUAGGUGAAGUCCCUCGCGGAUGGAGCUGAAAUCAGUCGAAGAUACCAGCUGGCUGCAACUGUUUAUUAAAAACACAGCACUGUGCAAACACGAAAGUGGACGUAUACGGUGUGACGCCUGCCCGGUGCCGGAAGGUUAAUUGAUGGGGUUAGCGGUAACGCGAAGCUCUUGAUCGAAGCCCCGGUAAACGGCGGCCGUAACUAUAACGGUCCUAAGGUAGCGAAAUUCCUUGUCGGGUAAGUUCCGACCUGCACGAAUGGCGUAAUGAUGGCCAGGCUGUCUCCACCCGAGACUCAGUGAAAUUGAACUCGCUGUGAAGAUGCAGUGUACCCGCGGCAAGACGGAAAGACCCCGUGAACCUUUACUAUAGCUUGACACUGAACAUUGAGCCUUGAUGUGUAGGAUAGGUGGGAGGCUUAGAAGUGUGGACGCCAGUCUGCAUGGAGCCGACCUUGAAAUACCACCCUUUAAUGUUUGAUGUUCUAACGUUGACCCGUAAUCCGGGUUGCGGACAGUGUCUGGUGGGUAGUUUGACUGGGGCGGUCUCCUCCUAAAGAGUAACGGAGGAGCACGAAGGUUGGCUAAUCCUGGUCGGACAUCAGGAGGUUAGUGCAAUGGCAUAAGCCAGCUUGACUGCGAGCGUGACGGCGCGAGCAGGUGCGAAAGCAGGUCAUAGUGAUCCGGUGGUUCUGAAUGGAAGGGCCAUCGCUCAACGGAUAAAAGGUACUCCGGGGAUAACAGGCUGAUACCGCCCAAGAGUUCAUAUCGACGGCGGUGUUUGGCACCUCGAUGUCGGCUCAUCACAUCCUGGGGCUGAAGUAGGUCCCAAGGGUAUGGCUGUUCGCCAUUUAAAGUGGUACGCGAGCUGGGUUUAGAACGUCGUGAGACAGUUCGGUCCCUAUCUGCCGUGGGCGCUGGAGAACUGAGGGGGGCUGCUCCUAGUACGAGAGGACCGGAGUGGACGCAUCACUGGUGUUCGGGUUGUCAUGCCAAUGGCACUGCCCGGUAGCUAAAUGCGGAAGAGAUAAGUGCUGAAAGCAUCUAAGCACGAAACUUGCCCCGAGAUGAGUUCUCCCUGACUCCUUGAGAGUCCUGAAGGAACGUUGAAGACGACGACGUUGAUAGGCCGGGUGUGUAAGCGCAGCGAUGCGUUGAGCUAACCGGUACUAAUGAACCGUGAGGCUUAACCUUACAACGCCGAAG
This 2927-nucleotide ribosomal RNA is filed under the name Escherichia coli. RNAcentral describes it as "bacterial LSU rRNA". It matches the Rfam family "Bacterial large subunit ribosomal RNA". Lineage: Bacteria; Pseudomonadati; Pseudomonadota; Gammaproteobacteria; Enterobacterales; Enterobacteriaceae. The record is from RNAcentral. RNAcentral also lists the same sequence under 1 other name.